AGAAGAUAAAACUAGAGUGGGGGAUAUCAAAUCAAAUCUUAUUGAAUACAACAGGUAGACCCUUAGUGAAAUGCUGAAUACAACAGGUAGACCCUUAGUGAAAUGCUGAAUACAACAGGUAGACCCUUAGUGAAAUGCUGAAUACAACAGGUAGACCCUUAGUGAAAUGCUGAAUACAACAGGUAGACCCUUAGUGAAAUGCUGAAUACAACAGGUAGACCCUUAGUGAAAUGCUGAAUACAACAGGUAGACCCUUAGUGAAAUGCUGAAUACAACAGGUAGACCCUUAGUGAAAUGCUGAAUACAACAGGUAGACCCUUAGUGAAAUGCUGAAUACAACAGUUAGACCCUUAGUGAAAUGCUGAAUACAACAGGUAGACCCUUAGUGAAAUGCUGAAUACAACAGGUAGACCCUUAGUGAAAUGCUGAAUACAACAGGUAGACCCUUAGUGAAAUGCUGAAUACAACAGGUAGACCCUUAGUGAAAUGCUGAAUACAACAGUUAGACCCUUAGUGAAAUGCUGAAUACAACAGGUAGACCCUUAGUGAAAUGCUGAAUACAACAGGUAGACCCUUAGUGAAAUGCUGAAUACAACAGUUAGACCCUUAGUGAAAUGAUGAAUACAACAGGUAGACCCUUAGUGAAAUGAUGAUUACAACAGGUAGACCCUUAGUGAAAUGCUUACUUUCAAGCCCUUAACCAACAAUGCAAUUUUAAGAAAAAUAAGAGUUAAGUAAAGAAAUAAAAGUAACAAAUAAUGAAACAGCAGCUGUAAAAUAACAAUAGCGAGGGUUUAUACAGGGAGUAUCGGUACAGAGUCAAUGUGCGGGGGCACCGGUUAGUCGAGGUAAUAUGUACAUGUAGAGUUAUUAAAGUGACGAUGCAUAGAUAGAGUAGCAGCAGUGGAAAAUACAAUGCAAAUAGUCUGGGUAGCCCUUUGAUUAGCUUUUCAGGAGUCUUAUGGAUUGGAGGGUAGAAGCUGUUAUGAAGCCUUUUGCACUCCGGUACCGCUUGUCGUGUGGUAGCAGAGAGAACAGUCUAUGACUAGGGUGGCUCGAGUCUGACAAUUGUUAGGGCCUUCCUCUGACAACACCUGGUAAAGAGGUCCUGGAUGGCAGGAAGCUUGGCCCCAGUGAUAUACUGGGCCAUAUGCACUACCCUCUGUAGUGCCUUGCGGUCAGAGGACGAGCAAUUGCCAUACCAGGUAGUGAAGCAACCAGUCAGGAUUAUCACGAUGUCGCAGCUGUAGAACAUUGAGGAUCUGAGGACCCAUGACAAAUCUUUUCAGUCUUCUGAAGGGGAAUAGGCUUUGCCGUGCCCUCUUCACGACUGUCUUAGUGUGUUUGGACCAUGAAAGUUUGUUGGCGAUGUGAACAGAGAUAUUGAAGCGCUCAACCUGCUCCACUACAGCACCAUUGAUGAGAAUGGGGGCGUGCUCGGUCCUUCUUUUCCUGUAGUCUACAAUCAUCUCCUUUGUCUUGACCACGUAGAGAGAAAGGUUGUUGUCCUGACACCACACAGCCAGGUCUCUCUUGAUGAUGGUGUUGGAGUCGUGCCUGGCCAUGAAGUCAUGAGUGAACAGGGAGUACAGGAGGGGACAGAGCACGCACCCCUGGGGGACCCCUGUGUUGAAUGUAAAGUCAUGGCCAAAUGUUUUGAGAAUGACACAAUUAUUAAUUUCCACAAAGUUUGCUGCUUCAGUGUCUAGAUAUUUUUGUCAGAUGUUACUAUGGAAUACUGAAGUGUCAAAGGCUUUUAUUGACAAUUACAUGAAGUUGAUG
Molecule: long non-coding RNA, 1782 nt
Organism: Oncorhynchus keta (chum salmon)
Lineage: Eukaryota; Metazoa; Chordata; Actinopteri; Salmoniformes; Salmonidae
Exons: 3
Source: RefSeq, a predicted model, not a curated record